GAGAAGAAAAGAAGAAGAAAAUUGGCAGCCCGUUCAAAUGGCGCGCGCGCCAUGAGGAAAACACAAAAUUCCAGUUUGACGAAGACAGCGUAGUCAAACAGUUUCAUAAGCGCUGGGUGUUGAUGUGGGAACGGGUAUCGUAGGCUGGCAUGCAAACACAAUGAUUGUUGGGGGAAAUGCAAGACGAUGUUCCCGCGCGACCUCUUCACUUCACGGCUGACCUAUAGACGAGCCCGGACGACAUUUAGAUAAAAGAAGAGCAAACGACAGCCACUUUUCCGCGAGGGUAAGGGCAAUAGCCGCAGGCUGGGACCUCUGGCCGCCUCUGGCUGGGACCGCGUGGACCCGCCGUUCGCCCUUACCUUCGGUUCCUUCGGGUCCUUCGAGCUCCACGCGGGCACGUCGCCAGGGGGCCCACAGCCGACCGGUCAACGGAAUAAAAACAAGAAAAAAGACAGGCAUCUCUCGAAAUUUAGAGCAAGGUUUCGCUGGUUCAUACUGUGCUGCCACAGGUUACCCUAAGAGAGAGUGGUCCAGAGCCAAGUUCGUUGGAGGCAAUUCGUAACACACAACUCAGGGCAGAGGGUAUGACUUGCCAGAAAAUCCGAAGACCACACCGCACUUGAGUGGGCUAUGCGAACUUGAGGUGAUUCUUGGCGUGCAUAAACACUAUCGAUCCUCUAACGCCCCUGGCGUCAGGCGCCCCUGGCAUUCCCUGCUUCCUCGAGCGUGGCGACGCCCCACGCCCCUGUUGCCUUGAGGCCCCACCGUCCGAGCAACACUAGUAGUGUGCUGGUCUGCUCCAGAGGCGGCAGAGUGCAUCUCCAACCGACAAUGCCAUGACAUCGAAGACGAUCUGCCACUCGCCUUGACGGCAGCUUUCCCGGGACAGAGUUUCGCCGAUUUUACUAUUCGCUCUGUUUUCUAAACCCUAUUACACUAAGCAGCCUUUCUCGUCAAUCUUAGAAAGGGCAGAUCUUGUCCACUAGAAGGGCACAAGGGCCUGCCCAGGGCAGCCCAGGGCUCGGUGCAAUGCUAAACCAGACGUCCCCCAGACGUGCAUUGAACGUUGCCCCGCGAGACGAGGACGUCGCGUCUGGCUCAUUGACGAGAAAGACAGAGACAACACGACAAGGAGAAUACUACAGUAACCAAGUGUUUCAUAUCGAUGUUUUUCUACACCCUGGCUGUGUUUCCAAGUCCUUCUGCGCGGAAGGAAGAAAGAAAAAAAAAACAAAGGAGCAUCGACUUCCGCGCACACUUCGCCGCGGCGUGGAUCCAGUUUCCGAGAUCCCUUCCCUGCCACCACACCACAACAACAACUGGGAUGGCGAGGCGUAAGAGCCGCGAAUCGCGGAUUAGCGACCCGGUGCCAAAUCCUUCCACGCGCCGAAGCACUCGGUCGCACUCGGAAUUACCGGCCCUAUCGGCUGUUCGAGUGGCCGUCGGUUCGCUCGCGCAACCCGACAUUGUCGCACACUCGUCCUUUGGUCCUUCCCGGCACGUGGCGCCGCGCAAAGCCGCAAAGCACACUGCCAAGACGCCAAGUCGACACGGACCACGAGUCCUUACUGCCAGUUCUUUCGGCUCUAAAACAUUUCGAAAAAUUUACACAAUGGUCUCUCAGUCAAAGUAAAGUUUACUUUUUUAAAAAAUCCGAAUCUUUUUGAUGUGCCACCUUGUGUGCCACCCCUUUUAUCGAAUGCAAAUUAUGAAUAAUGCCCCCUAGCUCCCCCCCAAAAAAGCCAGCGGCCCCAAACUAACUCUGUGGUGCACACAGCCCGGCGGGUGGAUUAAGAAUUAAUCUGCGAUUGGCUUUUGCGGCCGCCUCGUGACCCCAGCUGUCGUGACCCUCUCUCUCUCUCUCUC
RNAcentral lists this long non-coding RNA (1869 nucleotides) under Thrips palmi. RNAcentral describes it as "uncharacterized LOC117654339, transcript variant X1". The record is from RNAcentral. Lineage: Eukaryota; Metazoa; Arthropoda; Insecta; Thysanoptera; Thripidae.